GAUCCUGCAACAAAAAAAUUAUCAUUUAAUUCAUGAAAUUCAUCAUUUUCAUCAAGAUUAAUUGUUUCUGUUGCAUCAUGCUCCCCCUCAACAUGAUGUUCAUCUUGAUUCUCCCCCUUAAAAUGAUGUUCCUGUUGAAAUUGCGAAUGUUCCCCCUCAACUUGAUGAUUCAUAGUUUCAUUCUCCCCCUCGAAAGUUUGCUCUCCAGAUACAGCUGUAGUCGUAUGCUCCCCCUCCAUACGAACUUCAGGCACACUUUCGCAAGAUAUUGACUUUGUAGUAAUUGUUGAAUCAUCAGUAUGUUUUGAGGAUUCUGAUGUUUGAUUAUCAGGAGCAUGUACUUCUGCAUCAAUUGCCCUAUCAGGAAUUCCGAAAAUUAAGUCAUAAUCAAAAUCAUUGAUAUCUGAAUUUUCAAUUUGAGUAUCUGAAUCAACAAGAAUUGAUUUAUUUUCAAAUUUAAUAUCCGUUUGUUUAAGAUAAUAAUCAUCGAAGGUUAAGUUGAAAGUAUCUUCAACUUUUCUUGUCUGCUUGUUUAACACCCUGUAUGCAACUGAAUUUUGCGAAUAUCCUAAGAAUAUGCCUUCAUCAGCUUUAGCUUGAAACUUGAUCAAAUUAUCUUUUAGAUUCAUUAUAAAACACCUGCAACCAAAAACAUGAAAAAAUUUUUACAUUAGGUUUUCGAUUGUUGAGUAUUUCAUAUGGAGUGACAUUGAAUCUUCGAUGAAUGAAUGAACGAUUCUGAGUAAAACAUGCAGUCGACACAGCUUCAACCCAAAGAUAUUGAGGUAAGUUCGCAUAUGUUAGCAUGAACCUGGCUGCUUCGCAUAGAGACCUAUUUCUUCUUUCAACAACACCAUUUUGUUGUGGAGUAUAUGGUGGUGAGAAAUUAUGNCACAGCUUCAGCCCAAAGAUAUUGAGGUAAGUUCGCAUAUGUUAACAUGGUCCUGGCUGCUUCGCAUAGAGACCUAUUUCUUCUUUCAACAACACCAUUUUGUUGUGGAGUAUAUGGUGAUGAGAAAUUAUGCGAAAU
This 1030-nucleotide long non-coding RNA is filed under the name Lactuca sativa (garden lettuce). RNAcentral describes it as "long non-coding RNA (LSAT_LNC000609)". The record is from RNAcentral. Lineage: Eukaryota; Viridiplantae; Streptophyta; Magnoliopsida; Asterales; Asteraceae.